GCUCUCUCUCUCUCUCUCUCUUGUAAGUAUCAAGCAAGCCUAUUGAACUUUGGUCUUUCCCCUGUGCGGAGAAAGAUUACAAUAUUGAGCUAAAUCUGAUUGCAAGUGAGGUUCAAGGAUUCUAUGUCCAGAAGGUUUUUAUUUUUAUUUCUAAAAAAUUAAAAUAAGAAAGAGUGAAGAUUGAAUAGUGAUACAUCAUUCCAG
RNAcentral lists this unclassified non-coding RNA (204 nucleotides) under Hevea brasiliensis (rubber tree). The record is from RNAcentral. Lineage: Eukaryota; Viridiplantae; Streptophyta; Magnoliopsida; Malpighiales; Euphorbiaceae.